This 351-nucleotide RNase P RNA is filed under the name Gammaproteobacteria bacterium. Its description in RNAcentral is "RNase P RNA component class A". It matches the Rfam family "Bacterial RNase P class A". Rfam says of the family: Ribonuclease P (RNase P) is a ubiquitous endoribonuclease, found in archaea, bacteria and eukarya as well as chloroplasts and mitochondria. Its best characterised activity is the generation of mature 5'-ends of tRNAs by cleaving the 5'-leader elements of precursor-tRNAs. Cellular RNase Ps are ribonucleoproteins. The record is from RNAcentral. Lineage: Bacteria; Pseudomonadati; Pseudomonadota; Gammaproteobacteria.
GGAGUUGGCCAGACAAUCGCCGCGGGUAACCGGGGAGGAAAGUCCGGGCUCCGCAGGACAGGGCGCCAGGUAACACCUGGGGGGCGUGAGCCUACGGAAAGUGCAGCAGAAAACAAACCGCCUGCUUUGCAGGUAAGGGUGAAAUGGUGCGGUAAGAGCGCACCGCGCUGGUGGUAACACUCAGCGGCAAGGUAAACCCCGCUCGGAGCAAGACCAAAUAGGAAGACUAGCUGAUUCAGCCCGCGUGGUCCGCGCGUAGUCUUCGGGUAGGUUGCUAAAACUGUAUGGUGACAUGCAGUGUAGAUGAAUGAUUGUCCACGACAGAACCCGGCUUAUCGGCUGACUCCUGAU